This 492-nucleotide ribosomal RNA is filed under the name uncultured bacterium. RNAcentral's name for it is "partial 16S ribosomal RNA". It matches the Rfam family "Bacterial small subunit ribosomal RNA", at positions 29 to 507 of the family's 1533-position model. The record is from RNAcentral.
AGUGAACGCUGGCGGUAGGCCUAACACAUGCAAGUCGAACGGCAGCACAGUAAGAGCUUGCUCUUACGGGUGGCGAGUGGCGGACGGGUGAGGAAUACAUCGGAACCUACUUUUUCGUGGGGGAUAACGUAGGGAAACUUACGCUAAUACCGCAUACGACCUACGGGUGAAAGCAGGGGAUCUUCGGACCUUGCGCGAUUGAAUGAGCCGAUGUCGGAUUAGCUAGUUGGCGGGGUAAAGGCCCACCAAGGCGACGAUCCGUAGCUGGUCUGAGAGGAUGAUCAGCCACACUGGAACUGAGACACGGUCCAGACUCCUACGGGAGGCAGCAGUGGGGAAUAUUGGACAAUGGGCGCAAGCCUGAUCCAGCCAUACCGCGUGGGUGAAGAAGGCCUUCGGGUUGUAAAGCCCUUUUGUUGGGAAAGAAAAGCAGCAGGUGAAUACCCCGCUGUUCUGACGGUACCCAAAGAAUAAGCACCGGCUAACUUCGUG